This 301-nucleotide ribosomal RNA is filed under the name uncultured bacterium. Its description in RNAcentral is "partial 16S ribosomal RNA". It matches the Rfam family "Bacterial small subunit ribosomal RNA", at positions 509 to 807 of the family's 1533-position model. The record is from RNAcentral.
CAGUAGCCACGGGAAUGCAGAGGACGCAAGCGUUAUCCGGAAUGAUUGGGCGUAAAGCGUCUGUAGGUGGCUUUUCAGGUCCGCCGUCAAAUCCCAGGGCUCAACCCUGGACAGGCGGUGGAAACUACCAAGCUGGAGUACGGUAGGGGCAGAGGGAAUUUCCGGUGGAGCGGUGAAAUGUGUCGAGAUCGGAAAGAACACCAACGGAGAAAGCACUCUGCUGGGCCGACACUGACACUGAGAGACGAAAGCUAGGGGAGCAAAUGGGAUUAGAUACCCGCGUAGUCCCUGUCUCUUAUAC